CCUACGGGAGGCUGCAGUGAGGAAUAUUGGUCAAUGGACGCAAGUCUGAACCAGCCAUGCCGCGUGCAGGAAGACGGCUCUAUGAGUUGUAAACUGCUUUUGUACGAGGGUAAACGCAGAUACGUGUAUCUGUCUGAAAGUAUCGUACGAAUAAGGAUCGGCUAACUCCGUGCCAGCAGGCGAGGUUAUUCGGAGGAAUCAAGAGUUAGCCGGCUUUAUUGGGUUUAAAGGGUGCGUAGGCGGUCGGAUAAGUUAGAGGUGAAAACGCGAGGCUCAACUUCGGAAUUGCCUCUGAUACUGUGCGGCUAGAGAGUAGUUGCGGUAGGCGGAAUGUAUGGUGUAGCGGUGAAAUGCUUAGAGAUCAUACAGAACACCGAUUGCGAAGGCAGCUUACCAAGCUACGUCUGACGUUGAGGCACGAAAUCGUGGGGAGCAAACAGGAUUAGAUACCCGAGUAGUC
RNAcentral lists this ribosomal RNA (460 nucleotides) under uncultured bacterium. Its description in RNAcentral is "partial 16S ribosomal RNA". It matches the Rfam family "Bacterial small subunit ribosomal RNA", at positions 338 to 795 of the family's 1533-position model. The record is from RNAcentral.